CCUACGGGUGGCAGCAGUGGGGAAUAUUGGACAAUGGGGGAAACCCUGAUCCAGCGACGCCGCGUGAGCGAAGAAGUAUUUCGGUACGUAAAGCUCUAUCAGCAGGAAAGAAAAUGACGGUACCUGACUAAGAAGCCCCGGCUAACUACGUGCCAGCAGCCGCGGUAAUACGUAGGGGGCAAGCGUUAUCCGGAUUUACUGGGUGUAAAGGGAGCGUAGACGGCGCUGCAAGCCUGAAGUGAAAGGCCGGGGCCCAACCCCUGGACUGCUUUGGAAACUGUAUGGCUGGAGUGCAGGAGAGGUAAGUGGAAUUCCUAGUGUAGCGGUGAAAUGCGUAGAUAUUAGGAGGAACACCAGUGGCGAAGGCGGCUUACUGGACUGUAACUGACGUUGAGGCUCGAAAGCGUGGGGAGCAAACAGGAUUAGAUACCCGGGUAGUC
RNAcentral lists this ribosomal RNA (440 nucleotides) under uncultured bacterium. RNAcentral's name for it is "partial 16S ribosomal RNA". It matches the Rfam family "Bacterial small subunit ribosomal RNA", at positions 338 to 795 of the family's 1533-position model. The record is from RNAcentral.